Long non-coding RNA from Parus major (Great Tit), 2757 nucleotides. RefSeq lists it as uncharacterized. The record is from RefSeq and is a predicted model, not a curated record. NCBI's taxonomy places the organism in Eukaryota, Metazoa, Chordata, Aves, Passeriformes, Paridae. The transcript is spliced from 4 exons.
AACAAAACAUGCCUGUAUUAAAAGCUUGCACUUGAGACACUCCCCCUGGUACUACACUAUUUGUGACAGAAACACAUGAAGUUUAUUACAGCAGGGAAGAUUAUUUCUAUCUGCAAGUAUUUAGUAGUAGCUUUUUCUUACAUACAAAUUAUGGGUCAUUAGCUCCCAAGUAAGCAACAUCUGCUCACAUACAUGGUGUGAAUGCACCUUAAAAGGGACAGUGCAAGCACCUGCCUAAUGAGGUCAUCCUGGGAAAUUCAUGCAGUCAGGCAGCUCUGAUUAACAAGUUUACAGAGAGAGGGGCUGCAGGCAGGCACUUCUCCAUCGCUUCUCAGGCUAGGCUGUACAGAUGGCAUUUUCUCCAAACUGUUUCACUUUGCGUUACAAAGUGUUUAGUAUGGAACUUCAACCUAUUCUAUUCCAGGCUCAACGUACUCCAGAACCUGAAGAAAACCAGUCUCAGGGAAAGUGUUAGAGCAACAUUUGCAGCUUUACAUUUCAGCACAGACCCUUGAAGGUAUCUUCGUAUCUGCUCCUUGCCAGAAGAGUUUCAGUGAGGGUUGAGAUGAGGAUCCAAGCUGAUGGAUUUCAUGUUGGAAUUUAGACACCUAGACGUAAAGGUGUCUUAUUUUCUCCGUAAGUGAUUUGCUUGUGGCAUCACAAGUCUCUUGUUACCUAACAGGCAGUACCUCAAGCUCCAGCACAGGCUAAACUGUAUUCAGUCUACUGGAUGUGCCAUAAUGAGACAGUAGAACGUCACCAAAACAUUGACUCAAGUGGCUGAACAUUAGAGGAACCAGUGGUCUAUCUCCAAAGGCUGAAGGCAGGUGAGAAAAUAAUGAAGGUCACCAAAACAAAUGGCACAAAGUGGUCACUUGGCUCUGCCUCUCAGCACAGUGUAUCAAGGAGCUGGAGAGAGGAAGGGCAGAUGUGUCUGGGAGAGUGCAAGAGAACAGCUUCAGCCCAAAAAAAGUAGUGUUGGCGCAUUCAAAGGUGUAGAAGCAAAGAAAGGAGUUCAGUAAGUACCAAGCCUUCUGCAAGGCAAGGAAGAAAUGAUUAUUUAAUCCCUGGAAGCUGAAAACUUGACCAUGCACUUCUGCAUUUUUCUGCAGAAGAUUGAAUAUUAAGGUAUUAAACAGGAAUGUACAGUUAUGGACAGAAAAAUUUAUUGUCUGAAAGAGUUAUUCAGAGGAAAGAAAGAAACAUCCAAAGAGCUGAAUAUUACAGAAAAUCUGGAGCUGACAGUGAAAAACUAGGAUAAAGUUUUAUUUCUAAAAUGGAAGGCACUGUCUUCCAAAUGGAUCCUAAACUAAUUCCAGUUUCAGUGUAUAUCACACGUUACUGACAUUCCUGAUCUGCAGGUGGAGAGGACGUGAGGUGAGCCUGGUAAAGUCUGAAGGAGAGCCAUCACAGAACUUGAAGCAGUGAAAAAAAAAAGAAGAUUAAAAAAAACCCCCAAAGAUAAAAAUGCAUCCUCAAUUAAGUUAUAACUCAGCUAGUAUGCACAAAGUCAAAUGACUUCUGGCUCACUUUCUCAGAGAAAAUUAGAUAGUUCUGCUCCAAGUAGAAGAAAAAUGUAUCCUUUUGCAAAUGCAUUUCUCUGUGUUAUGCUUUUAAGUACCAGCUUUUAAAUCAUGUCUGAAGAGGCCUGGGAAAGCACAUUAGCACCUCUCUACAAGCGCUGUUUGAACAUGGUUGGCUUGGGGAGAGGGGAAUGAAAGACUUCCAGACUCAGUGCAGACAAAGCCCAAAGGCUGUUGGCGCAAGUACAAAGCCAGAAUAGUGCUUCAAGAAAAUGGAAAGAAAAUGCCUUUAAAGAAGAAUUCACCAAAAUGACAUGAAACAGCAAACAGGAGACAGAGCCUUUGAGAGCAGUUUUUCACAAUUAGGUCACUGCUCUUUUGUGAAUGUUGAAGAUGCUCCACAACAGGAGUCAGAGACCUCCUGAAAGCCUGUUCCAAAAACCCUUCUGGAUCCCUUGGUUCAGUUUUCACCAUUGCAAUUAUCAGACUGCCAGGGCAACUGAUACAGCAAAUUGUCUGUUCACUUCCAAAGAUGCUCACUGCUGGUCUUACAGAGUUAACGCAGGAGCUCUGUGAAGCAGCAGCUUUGGGCAGCGUGCCUGGAGCAGAUCACAACAUCCCCUGGGGAAAAGAGAGACUUACCAGCUGUUUUUGAGAGUGGAGAGAGACAGUGCAUUGCAAAGUUACCAACUGCAUCUGGCAUGUCCCUCCUUCUGUGACCAUCACUCUCCUUUCCCUGACUCUGGGUUAGCAGAGGGCUUUCCCAUGCCCUGUGUUCUAAGGAAGAAGCCAAGGUCUUGUGUGUGUUUCUGGCUUGGUGUUUGCAGCCCCUGGCAGCCAGCUGUCUGACAGAGCCAUCCAAGUGAGCACUAGCCAGUAGUUGCACCCUGCACCCAGAAGAAGAUUUCACAUUUAAAAGUAGCUCCCUGCAGAGGAGGCCUGCUUUCCCCAGAUGACACGGGAGAAUUGGAGGGGUAACGGGAAGUGAGAGAGGGGCACGAGUGGGGCGUGGUUUAAAUUCCUAAACCGCAACAACUGUAAAUACAAACAGUCAUGGUUGAUGUUUCCACACCAGCCCUGUGAUAAAGGAGCAUUUGCUUAUUAACAUGGAUGUCCAAAUUUCAUGUACAACAUUCCCCAGCACACAGGCCCUGUUUCCCCAGACCAGCUCUUCUGUAGCUGCUGCCAGGUCAGCAGAAGGAGCACAGGACAUGCAGCUGCAGCCUAUCAGUAC